RNAcentral lists this long non-coding RNA (3245 nucleotides) under Pongo abelii (Sumatran orangutan). RNAcentral's name for it is "lincRNA". The record is from RNAcentral. Lineage: Eukaryota; Metazoa; Chordata; Mammalia; Primates; Hominidae.
AAGUACAUUUUCUGCUAUGAUGCUGCAAACAGGCACCAGGAUGAGUCAGACCCAUUUAAGAUUGUUGAGCCUCACAGGUUUGGCGAUUUAAUUACGUGUUUUGUGGGAUUUGCAAGCUGCGUGCAAUCUCCCCGCAUGCGUCAGGUCCACACGUGGCAGUGGCCCUUGUCUCUCUCUGGUUUUGUUUGGUGGUACAUCAGGCCAGGCUCUGGAAGCCUGGAAUUGAGGAUGCAAGCAUGUUCAUGCGUGCGGUGUGGGAUCGGCCGGGAAGGAAAUCGCUGGAGGCCUUCCGCUCCCUCCUCCACCUGGGGCUGGGCCGCGAAAACAAUAACAGAGUACACCAGUCAUCAUAAGAAGAAAAAUUCACAUUUAAAGUUUGGAAAGCAACAGGACAAAGGUCUGUCUUCAGUGGUGCGUAGACAUGUUCGUGAUUGAAUUGGAAAUAGUUCUCUUUCCUUCUCUCUGACUUCCUAACUGAAAAGCUGCAGCGUGGGGAGAAAGGCUGCUCAGAAGCCUGGAGCCAGAACACGCACCCUGGCUUUGGUAGGGCCGGCUUGUUUGGUUAGAAUCGAAGGAAAAGCCUUGUUAUUUGGGAAGCUGGGCAUCCUCACCAAAUUAGGGGAUUUAAUUUGCAGAUAUCUAAGGAGUGCUUUGAAAUGAAAGAUGAACUAAAAUCUGCUCCGAGGCCCGUGAUUUUUGACCAGUGGAGAAGGAUUCUCUUGCUGCUGGACAUACGUGGAAAGCAUCGUCUGAUCUGAAACGCAAGUCCCUGCAAGACGGAGGAGAGACUGUAUAAACAUUGUAUACCAUUAUAUGAAAUCAAUUCGAUUCAGGGCUAGAAUUCAAGAAAUAAUCCAUGGGCGAGUAUGUCUGAUGGUAAACCCCAACCAUUAUACUGUUACCCUCUUGUACUUUUUAAAAUUUGUUAUUAUUUGAUAUUAUUAUCACAAAAGUCUCUGGAACAGGAUCCAUGAGCUGCUCCUUCACUGCUUAGUGUUUUCAGAAGCUGACGGAUUAUUAAGCUCCAAUUGAAUACUUGAUUUCCAAUGAUUCCAUUAAUUUUUCUGGUUUGUGAUAGGAUUUGAUUUACUUAUUUUGUACUUUAACACACCAAUAAAAAAUAGAUAUUAAGAAAUAGUGAAAUUUGUUGCCUCAAAAUAACCCUUAAAAUUUAGAGUUUAGUGAAAUUAAGCAAUUCAAAUAGAGAAACGAUUAUCCUUCAUUUCCUUAAGGCACAGAAAUUGAGACUAGGUUCGAGAACCUUCAUAUUUUAAAAACUGGAAAAUACUGGCUAAGUGAGGACUGGGCAGUCAUACUCCACACAUGCUCUGUGUGCUUGGAGCGAAGCGGGGAACGCACUGAAUGAGAUGAACUGGAAGGAGGUGCAGCAGCGAAGGAAAUCCUUCUGUUGGGAGAGUUCACCUGUUUAGGAUAAUCCUUCGAAUAGGACCCAAUAGUGAUGUGAGGAGAAGCUUUGGAGCUGAUUUAGAUUUAGACAGUCUAUCACAGGCUGUUUGGUUGCAUCCCUUUGGGGCCAGUCUCAUUUUAGGUCUAAAUAUGCAGGAAUGGGGCUCUGGCUUCCAGAAGUUUCAGGCUGCAAAAGGCUGGGGCCACCAUCUUUACAGAUAAUCCACUAGUUUGAUUCUCUUGGGGACCAGGAAGAAAACCAAGAACACUCAAUGGACUAUGGGACUCAAAUAAUCCACAGGAGGCGUUUGUAAAGGGGCAGAACUGUGUGUGCCCAGUAAUUCUUGGAGCUCACAGUAGAGGUGGAGAAGCAGUGAUGGGCCCCACAGCAGCAGGGGCUUGGGAAUGACGGAAAAGAAAAAAAUGAUGGAAGGACAGCUGGAAGAAACAGGGAAGCUUCCUUUUAACUGGAUGCUGGGUCUCAGCCUUGAAUAGUUCCAGGCCUUCGGAGGCCUUUUCUCAGGGUGCAUGGCCUGGGGACUCCCUGCUUGCUCUGCUGAGCUUUCAGGGAAGGAGAAAUGGGCAAGGCCAGAGGCGACCAUCAGGUGCUCCGUAGGCACAGAAGCAGAACUCAAGGUUUAGCUUUACCUUAAGAGGGUGACUGCAAAGUGUGCUCCCUGGACCAGGGGCCUCGGCCUCACCUGGGAGCUUGCUAAAAAUGCAAGUUUCUCUCGCCCAGACUGAAUCCAAAAUUCUGGGUACAGCCCAGCAAUCUCUGCUCACACUUUCUCCAGGUGAUUCUGGUGCAAGCUAACCUUUAAAAAGUCCUGGGUCCCAUUCCCAGAGGCUGUGAUUAAGUUGGUCUAGGGCUGUGGCCUAGACCUGGGGGUUUUGGAAGCCCACAGGUGAUUCUGUUGUGCAGCCAUGGUUGGCAGGCUGUUCGCGGUGCUGUUCAACAGGUCCUGCUGUGGGAUGGAAAGGGUCUGUAUCUGCACUGGCCAAUGUGGGAGCCAGCCCUGUGGCUACUGAGCACUUGGCCCCUGGCUAAUGCAACUGAGGAGCUGAAUUUUUCAUUUCGUUUACUUUUAAUUAAGUUUAAAUAGCUAAAUGUGGCUAUUGGCUGCCUUAUUGGAUAGCAGAGUUCUAGAGCCACAGAUAAAUGUAAUACUGUCCCAUUAGUUGAUUUAAAAAUCCAAUGCCUCACAGAGUUAAAUAUUUAAGUUGAUAAGAAAAAUGGUAGUCAAGAGUCUUUGAGGAUUAUUUUAAAAUCCAUUUUUGGUGAUAAAUAGAUAAAAACAGUGUGGUAGGGCCCAGAAGUUCUUCCUGAUUUCUACCUGUUGGAGCUGAAUUCCUCAAUUUUACUUGUAGGAGAACGGCUUCCUAAAGGGCACCUUACCCAGCCAUUCCUGCACGCAAGUGUGUAUGAGAACUGCAGGGGGCAUUGUAUGAAAAUCCAAUUCCUGGGCUCUCUCCCAGAUGUUCCUAUCCAAUAGGUCUGGGUUGGGGCCCUGGAAACUGCAUUUUUGGCAAACCCCUUACUGAUUUGCAUGCACAAGUUUCAAGGAACAGGCACUAAGGAUCGCUGAUUUAGAAUCUGUUUGUCCAUCCAGGAAAGCCAGAGUCACCACACUUGAGUACAGUGGGUUUUGAUGUAGGAAAGGUCUUUAUAAUUCUUUCAUGAAUUCACCAAACUUUAAAAACUGUACUGUUUUUGGCUGGGCAUGGUGGCUCACGCCUGUAAUCCCAGCACUUUGGGGGCCGAGGAGGGUGGAUCAUGAGGUCAGGAGAUCAAGACCAUCCUAGCUAACACAGUGAAAACCUGUCUCUACGAAAAAUAC